This 1056-nucleotide ribosomal RNA is filed under the name Heterosigma akashiwo. RNAcentral's name for it is "partial Bacterial large subunit ribosomal RNA". It matches the Rfam family "Bacterial large subunit ribosomal RNA", at positions 660 to 1820 of the family's 2925-position model. Lineage: Eukaryota; Raphidophyceae; Chattonellales; Chattonellaceae. The record is from RNAcentral.
GUGUAGGCGAAGCGAAAGCGAGUCUGAAUAGGGCGACUGAGUAUGUUGGAUUAGACCCGAAACCCGGCGAUCUAGGCAUGACCAGGUUGAAGGUGCAGUAACAUGCACUGGAGGACCGAACCAUUUAAUGUUGAAAAAUUAUUGGAUGAGUUGUGUUUAGGGGUGAAAGGCCAAUCAAGCCGGGAAAUAGCUGGUUCUCCGCGAAAACUAUUGAGGUAGUGCCUCGGAUGUUUUCCUAUGGGGGUAGAGCACUGGAUGGGCUAGGGGGUCCCAACGACUUACCAAACCUAACCAAACUCCGAAUACCAGUAAGUAGAGCGCAGCAGACAGACUACGGGUGCUAAGGUCCGUGGUCGAAAGGGAAACAGCCCAGACCUCCAGCUAAGGUCCCAAAAUCAUAGUUAAGUGGGAAAGGAUGUGGGAAGGCCAAGACAACCAGGACGUUGGCUUAGAAGCAGCCAUCGUUUAAAGAAAGCGUAACAGCUCACUGGUCAAGCGCUCCUGCGCGGAAAAUGUAACGGGGCUUAAGUGAUACACCGAAGCUGCGGAUUCGAUCUUUGAUCGAGUGGUAGCGGAGCGUUCCGUAGGCCGAUGAAGGCAGACCCGCGAGGGCUGCUGGAGGUAUCGGAAGUGAGAAUGCUGACAUGAGUAGCGACAAAGAGGGUGAGAGACCCUCUCGCCGAAAGUCCAAGGUUUCCUGCGCAAUGCUAAUCAGCGCAGGGUUAGUCGGCCCCUAAGGCGAGGCAGAAAUGCGUAGUCGAUGGGAAGCAGGUUAAUAUUCCUGCACCAGUGGGUAGUGACGGAUCUCGUGUGUCGUCAGUCCUUAUCGGAUUGAACUGGCGGCGAAGAGGUCCCUGGAAAUAGCUCCCACAUUAGACCGUACCCCAAACCGACACAGGUGGGCUGGUAGAGCAUACCAAGGCGCUUGAGAGAACUAUGCUGAAGGAACUCGGCAAAUUGCUCCCGUAAGUUCGCGAGAAGGGAGCCUCUGCAUUGGGCAACCAGUGUGGAGGGGCACAGACCAGGGGGUGGCGACUGUUUACUAAAAACACAGGA